ACUCCUACGGGAGGCAGCAGUGGGGAAUUUUGCGCAAUGGGCGAAAGCCUGACGCAGCAACGCCGCGUGAGUGAUGAAGGCUUUCGGGUCGUAAAGCUCUGUCGAGGGGAAAGAAGUGUACUUUGGUUAAUACCCAUUGUACUUGACGGUACCCCUAAAGGAAGCACCGGCUAACUCCGUGCCAGCAGCCGCGGUAAUACGGGGGGUGCAAGCGUUGUUCGGAAUUAUUGGGCGUAAAGCGCGUGUAGGCGGUUUGAUUAGUCUGAUGUGAAAGCCCUGGGCUCAACCCAGGAAGUGCAUUGGAUACUGUCAGACUUGAAUACGGGAGAGGGUAGUGGAAUUCCUAGUGUAGGAGUGAAAUCCGUAGAUAUUAGGAGGAACACCGGUGGCGAAGGCGGCUACCUGGACCGAUAUUGACGCUGAGACGCGAAAGCGUGGGUAGCAAACAGGAUUAGAUACCCUGGUAGUCCACGCCGUAAACGAUGAGAACUAGGUGUCGCGGGUA
This 505-nucleotide ribosomal RNA is filed under the name uncultured Geobacter sp. Its description in RNAcentral is "bacterial SSU rRNA". It matches the Rfam family "Bacterial small subunit ribosomal RNA", at positions 335 to 831 of the family's 1533-position model. Lineage: Bacteria; Pseudomonadati; Thermodesulfobacteriota; Desulfuromonadia; Geobacterales; Geobacteraceae. The record is from RNAcentral.